GACGAACGCUGGCGGCGUGCCUGACACAUGCAAGUCGGACGGUUCUUGUAUCUUCAAGCUUGCUUGCAGGUGCAAGGAUAGUGGCGGACGGGUGAGUAACGCGUGAACAUCUACCCAUUGGAGGGGGACAACCCGUCGAAAGGCGGGCUAAUACCGCGUAAGCCGCGAGGUGAGAGGCUGCCUAUUGGUGGCCGCCGAUGGAUGGGUUCGCGUCCUAUCAGCUGGUUGGUGGGUAACGGCCUACCAAGGCGAAGACGGGUAGCCGGUCUGAGAGGAUGGCCGGCCACACUGGAACUGAGACACGGUCCAGACUCCUACGGGAGGCAGCAGUGGGGAAUAUUGGGCAAGUGGGGGAACCCUGACCCAGCCGACGCCGCGUGAGGAUGAAGGUUUUCGGAUCGUAAACCUCUGUUGUACGGGAAGAAGGAUGUGACGGUACCGUACGAGAAAGCCCCGGCAAACCUACGUG
Molecule: ribosomal RNA, 469 nt
Filed under: uncultured bacterium
Lineage: Bacteria
Description: bacterial SSU rRNA
Rfam family: Bacterial small subunit ribosomal RNA
Source: RNAcentral